RNAcentral lists this ribosomal RNA (676 nucleotides) under uncultured bacterium. RNAcentral describes it as "bacterial SSU rRNA". It matches the Rfam family "Bacterial small subunit ribosomal RNA", at positions 10 to 683 of the family's 1533-position model. The record is from RNAcentral.
AGUUUGAUCCUGGCUCAGGAUGAACGCUGGCGGCGUGCCUAACACAUGCAAGUCGAACGGGGAUAUAUUGGAAUGAGGAUUCGUCUGAAGGAAAAUGUAUCUUANUGGCGGACGGGUGAGUAACGCGUGGGCAACCUACCGUAUACAGGGGGAUAACACUUAGAAAUAGGUGCUAAUACCGCAUAAGCGCACAGCAGUGCAUACUGGAGUGUGAAAAGCCGAGACGGUAUACGAUGGGCCCGCGUCUGAUUAGCCAGUUGGCAGGGUAACGGCCUACCAAAGCGACGAUCAGUAGCCGGCCUGAGAGGGCGGACGGCCACAUUGGGACUGAGACACGGCCCAGACUCCUACGGGAGGCAGCAGUGGGGGAUAUUGCACAAUGGGGGGAACCCUGAUGCAGCGACGCCGCGUGAGUGAAGAAGUAAUUCGUUAUGUAAAGCUCUAUCAGCAGGGAAGAAUAAAUGACGGUACCUGAGUAAGAAGCCCCGGCUAACUACGUGCCAGCAGCCGCGGUAAUACGUAGGGGGCAAGCGUUAUCCGGAUUUACUGGGUGUAAAGGGAGCGUANACNGCGAUGCAAGCCAGAUGUGAAAGCCCGCGGCUCAACUGCGGUAGUGCAUUUGGAACUGUAUGGCUGGAGUGCANGANAGGCANGCGGAAUUCCUAGUGUAGCGGUG